Molecule: ribosomal RNA, 542 nt
Filed under: uncultured bacterium
Lineage: Bacteria
Description: partial 16S ribosomal RNA
Rfam family: Bacterial small subunit ribosomal RNA
Source: RNAcentral
UGGGGAAUAUUGGACAAUGGGGGCAACCCUGAUCCAGCAAUGCCGCGUGUGUGAAGAAGGUCUUCGGAUUGUAAAGCACUUUCGACGGGGACGAUGAUGACGGUACCCGUAGAAGAAGCCCCGGCUAACUUCGUGCCAGCAGCCGCGGUAAUACGAAGGGGGCUAGCGUUGCUCGGAAUGACUGGGCGUAAAGGGCGUGUAGGCGGUUUACACAGUCAGAUGUGAAAUCCCCGGGCUUAACCUGGGAGCUGCAUUUGAUACGUGUAGACUAGAGUGUGAGAGAGGGUUGUGGAAUUCCCAGUGUAGAGGUGAAAUUCGUAGAUAUUGGGAAGAACACCGGUGGCGAAGGCGGCAACCUGGCUCAUGACUGACGCUGAGGCGCGAAAGCGUGGGGAGCAAACAGGAUUAGAUACCCUGGUAGUCCACGCUGUAAACGAUGUGUGCUAGAUGUUGGGUAACUUUGUUAUUCAGUGUCGCAGUUAACGCGUUAAGCACACCGCCUGGGGAGUACGGGCCGCAAGGUUGAAACUCUAAAGUGAAUU